GUAUUGAUUUUUCUGUUAUUUUAAUAUUGUGCCGCUCCCAGCAAGCCUUUGAUUGAAUCUUAAACACUUUAAUGCUCUAUUUUUGUUUGAAGCAGAUCAGAGAUGGAGUUUGUACUAUUCACAAAGCUAACACAAUUUACGAAACAACAAAAUCAAAUUUCAAAAAGCAUCUUUAUUUUCAAGCCAAGGGAAUAAAUUUGGUAAAACUAUCGUUAUGGGGGAUGUGGCUUGGCAACGAAAGGCACGCACACGCAUUUAAUUUCUAUGCAUCCAUUUUCAUCUAAAUUAGAUUUUAACUUUAAUGCAGGGUAUGAAAAGCCUCUCUCGGGCCUUUGUUUCUGCCUCCUCUCUCCAGCCCUUGCAGGCUUUCUCCCAGCUAAUAGCUCCACAUCCUGCUUUGUCCCCCUCCCUCUUGGCAGGGGGUUUGGGCAGCCUUCUCUGGGUUCUGGCUGCAGAAGAUUCUGUUUCUGGGACCCUCCAAGGGGGCCUCUCCAGGGGGGCCUGCUCGACUGAGAUUGCCAAACAGAUAAAUCACAACUAGAUUCUGGCCAGCACCAUGCUCUCAGCUUAUUUUGUGGUUUAGAGCAGGGGCUGAUGAAUUAGGGUCCAUGGGCCACUUAUUCUUUUGAUGCCCCGCCCCCAGUCCAGCUAAGAAUGAAUUUCACAUUUUUUAGUACUUUCUUUUUUUUCCCCAUAUUUUUGUUGGUGCAUUAUCAUUAUACAAAAUAGUGGAUUUGUUGUUGUAUAUCUGAACCUACACACCAUGCCACAGUACAAUUUGGUCAAUGUGGUUCCCCAGGAUCUCCCCUUUCCCUUCCUCUCCAUCCCCUGACCCCUCUCUCCUCUAUUUUCAUGAGAUCCCUAUCUCCACCUUUAUUUUCCUUUUUUUCCUCUCUAGCUUCCACACAUGAGAGAAAACAUAUGAUGACCAUUGACUUUCUGCAUGUUUGACUUAUGUCACUUAACAUAUCGCUCAAGUUUCAUUCAUUUUCCUGCAAAUGACAUAAUUGCAUUCUUUAUAGCUCUGAAUACCAUAUUUUCUUUUCCCAUUCAUCCAUUGAUGGACACCUAGGCUAGUUCCAUAACUUGGCUAUUGUGAAUUGUGCUGCUGCUGUAAACAGAGGCAUGCCUGUGUCACUACAGUCUGCCGACUAGACUCAUUCUUCAGGAUAAAUACCGAGGAGUGGCAUAGCUGGGUCAUGCGGUGGUUCUGUUUCUAGUCUUUUGAGGAACUGCCGUACUGACUUCCACAUUGGCUGAACUAACUCCACAAUUCCACCAAUAGUAUAAAAAUGUUCCUUUUCUCCGUGUCCUUUCCAGCGUUUACUAUUUGUAUUCUCCAUGGUUGCCAUUCUAAUUGGAAUGAGAUGUAAUUGCAGUGGACUUUUGAUUUGCAUUUCCUUAAUUGCUAACGACAUUGAACUUUCUCAUAUAGCUGUUGGCCAUUGAAUUUCUUCUUUUGAGAAGUGUCUGUUUAGCUCAUUUGCUCAUUUGUUGAUGAGGUUGGGGUUUUUUUUGUUUUGUUUUGUUUUGUUUUUUGGUGGGGGGAGGUGUGUUUUGAAUUCUUCAUAUAUUUUGGAUCUUAACCUUCUGUCAGAGGAGUAGUACUUUCAUAGCAAUAUUUUCUUCCAUUCCAUAAGUUCUCCCUUCACACCCUUGUUUCCUUUGCUGUGUAGAAGCGUUUUAAUUUGAUGUUGUCCUACUGAUUAAUUCUUGGUAUUAUUUUCUGAGCUUUAGGAAUUCUGUUAAGGAAGUCAUUGCCUGAGCCUAUAUGUUGGAGUAUUAACCCUACAUUUCUACCAGUUGCAAAGUCUAAUUCCUAGGUCUUUGAUACAUUUUGAGUUGAUUUUUGUGCAGGGUGACAGGGAUUUAGUUUCAUUUUACUGCAUAGGGAUAACCAGGUUUCCCAGCACCAUUGUUUAAAAGACUGUCUUUUGUCCAAUGGUUGUAUUUGGUGACUUUGUCAAGAAUCAAAUGACAGUGUCUGUGCAGGUUGAUCUCUGUGACUUCAAUUCUCUUCUACUAGUCUAUUUGUUUUUCUGCCAGGACCAUGCAGUUUGGGUUACUACAGAUCUGCAAUACAGUUUGAAGUCAGGUAUUAUGUUGCCUCCCCCAUUGCUCUUUUGGCUCAGAAUUGCUUUAGCUAUUCCAGGUCUUUUAUUCUUUCAAAUGAAUUUUAGUACUGUUUUUCCUAGUUCUGUUAAGAAUGCCAUUGGUAUUUUGAUGGGGAUUUCAUUGAAUCUUUAGAUUAUUUUCAGCAAUAUAGCCAUUUUAACAAUGUUGAUUCUGUCUAUCCAUAAACAUGGGAGAUCUUUCCCUCUUCUAGUAUCUUCUUCCAUUUCUUUCUUCAGAGUUCUAUAAUUUUCAUUGUAGAGCUCUUUCACCUCCUUGGUUAAAUUUAAAGGGUUUUUAAAAUUUUUUUUAAUUUGUUUUAAUUAGUUAUGCAUGCCAGUAGAAUGCAUUUAUGCCCUUUGAUAAUGCCAUUAUUUAAUUCUUCUUUAAAGUUGAAUAAUAUUCUAUUGAAUAUAUAUACCACAUUUUCUUUAUCCAUUCAUCUAUUGAAGGACACCUAGGUUGGUUCCAUAGUUUAGCUAUUGUGAAUUGAGCUGCUAUAAAUAUUGACAUGGCCACAUCACUGUAGUAUGCUGAUUUUAAGAUCUUUGGGUAUAAACUAAGGAGUGGGAUAUCUAGGUCAAAUGGUGGUUCCUUUCUGAGUUUUCUGAGGAGUCUCCAUACUGCUUUCCAGAGUGGUUGCACCAAUUUGCAGUCCCACCAGCAAUUUAUGAGUGUAACUUUUACUCCAUAUCCUUGCCAACAUUUAUUUUUUGUCUGUGUUCUUGAUGAUUGCCAUUCUGACUGGAGUGAGAUGAAAUUUUAGAGUAGUUUUAAUUUGCAUUUCUCUAAUUGCUAGAGAUGUUGUACAUUUUUUCAUAUAUUUUUUGAUCAAUUGUAUUUCUUCUUCUGUGGAGUGUCUGUUCAGUUCCUUAGCCCAUUUAUUGAUUGGGUUAUUUGUUGUUGUUGUUUUGUUUUGGUGUUAAGUUUUUUAAGUUCUUUAUAUAGCUAAGAGACUAAUGAUUUAUCCAAGGUACAUGUGGCAAAGAUUUUCUCCCAAUCUGUAGGCUUUGUCUUCACAUUAUUUUUUUUUUCUUUUGCUGAGAAGAAGCUUUUUAGUUUAAAUUCAUCCAUUUAUUGAUUCUUGAUUUCACUUCUUGUGCUUCAGGGGUAUGGUUAAGGAAGUAACAAAAUGAAAUUAAACCUCUGUCUCUCACCCUACACAAGACUCAAAGUAGAUCAAAGACUUAGGCACUAGAACAGAGACCCUGCACCUACUAGAAGAAAAAGUAGGCCCAAAUCUUCACCAUGUCAGCCUAGGAUCUGCCUUCCUUAGCUAGGAAGUCCUAGAGUUUUUAUAGGUUUUUUUUUUCUUCCUUUGUGAGUGCAUGUAUUUGUUUUUGUUUUUGAGGAUAUUAUGAAUGGGCUUAUUUCCAGCGAAUUCAUUAUUGGUGUACAGGAAAGCUAUUUAUUUUUAUGUGGAUUUUUUAUUCUGCUACUUUUCUGAAUUUUUAUAUUAGUUCUAACAAUCUUCUGGUGGAACAUCAUAUUAUCUGCAAACAGUAGUACUCUGACUUCUUACUUUUCUCAUUUAAUCUCUUUAAUUUUCUUCUCUUGACUAUUUGCUUUGGCUAGAAUUUCAAGUACUAUAUUGAAUAAGAAUAGGUAAAGUGAAAAUCCUUGUCUUCUUCUUGAUUUUAGAGAAAAUACUUUCAGUUUUUCUCUAGUGACUAGGAUGUUGGCUUUUGGGUUGUCAUACAUAGCCUAGUUUCUUCAGUGUUUUUAUAAUGAAUUGGUGCUAAAUUUUAUCAAAGGCUUCCUCUGCAUCUAUUGGGAUAACUAUGUGAUUUUUGCCCUUAAUUCUAUUAAUGUGAUGGACUACAUUUAUUGAUUUGCAUAUGUUGAACCAUCCCUGCAUCCCUGCAAUGCAAUCAACUUGGCCAUGAUGUAUAAUCUUAAUGUGUUGGAUAUAAUUUGCUAAUAUUUUAUUAAGAAUUUUGGCAUCUAUGUUAAUCAGGGAUACUGGUCUUUCCUUGAUGAUUUAAUGGUUCCUUAAAAAUGCAAAAGAGAAG
RNAcentral lists this long non-coding RNA (4124 nucleotides) under Marmota monax (woodchuck). The record is from RNAcentral. Lineage: Eukaryota; Metazoa; Chordata; Mammalia; Rodentia; Sciuridae.